GGCGGCGUGGCCAAGUGGUAAGGCAAGGGCCUGCAAAGCCCCUAUUCGGCGGUUCGAAUCCGCCCGCCGCCUCCA
RNAcentral lists this transfer RNA (75 nucleotides) under Gemmatimonadota bacterium. RNAcentral describes it as "Gemmatimonadetes bacterium tRNA-Cys". It matches the Rfam family "tRNA". Rfam says of the family: Transfer RNA (tRNA) molecules are approximately 80 nucleotides in length. Their secondary structure includes four short double-helical elements and three loops (D, anti-codon, and T loops). Lineage: Bacteria; Pseudomonadati; Gemmatimonadota. The record is from RNAcentral. RNAcentral also lists the same sequence under 1 other name.